UUAAGCGACCAAGCGUACACGGUGGAUGCCCUGGCAGUCAGAGGCGAUGAAGGACGUGCUAAUCUGCGAAAAGCGCCGGCGAGGUGAUAUGAACCCUUGACCCGGCGAUGUCCGAAUGGGGAAACCCAGUGUGACCUGUCACACUAUCGUUAGCUGAAUACAUAGGCUAACGAGGCGAACCGGGGGAACUGAAACAUCUAAGUACCCCGAGGAAAAGAAAUCAACCGAGAUUCCCCCAGUAGCGGCGAGCGAACGGGGAGGAGCCCAGAGCCUGAAUCAGCUUGUGUGUUAGUGGAAGCGUCUGGAAAGUCGCACGGUACAGGGUGAAAGUCCCGUACACGAAAAUGCACAGGCUGUGAGCUCGAUGAGUAGGGCGGGACACGUGGUAUCCUGUCUGAAUAUGGGGGGACCAUCCUCCAAGGCUAAAUACUCCUGACUGACCGAUAGUGAACCAGUACCGUGAGGGAAAGGCGAAAAGAACCCCGGCGAGGGGAGUGAAAAAGAACCUGAAACCGUGUACGUACAAGCAGUGGGAGCCUCUUUUAUGGGGUGACUGCGUACCUUUUGUAUAAUGGGUCAGCGACUUAUAUUCUGUAGCAAGGUUAACCGUAUAGGGGAGCCGAAGGGAAACCGAGUCUUAACUGGGCGUUAAGUUGCAGGGUAUAGACCCGAAACCCGGUGAUCUAGCCAUGGGCAGGUUGAAGGUUGGGUAACACUAACUGGAGGACCGAACCGACUAAUGUUGAAAAAUUAGCGGAUGACCUGUGGCUGGGGGUGAAAGGCCAAUCAAACCGGGAGAUAGCUGGUUCUCCCCGAAAGCUAUUUAGGUAGCGCCUCGUGAAUUCAUCUCCGGGGGUAGAGCACUGUUUCGGCUAGGGGGCCAUCCCGGCUUACCAACCCGAUGCAAACUGCGAAUACCGGAGAAUGUUAUCACGGGAGACACACGGCGGGUGCUAACGUCCGUCGUGAAGAGGGAAACAACCCAGACCGCCAGCUAAGGUCCCAAAGUCAUGGUUAAGUGGGAAACGAUGUGGGAAGGCCCAGACAGCCAGGAUGUUGGCUUAGAAGCAGCCAUCAUUUAAAGAAAGCGUAAUAGCUCACUGGUCGAGUCGGCCUGCGCGGAAGAUGUAACGGGGCUAAACCAUGCACCGAAGCUGCGGCAGCGACACUAUGUGUUGUUGGGUAGGGGAGCGUUCUGUAAGCCGUUGAAGGUGUGCUGUGAGGCAUGCUGGAGGUAUCAGAAGUGCGAAUGCUGACAUAAGUAACGAUAAAGCGGGUGAAAAGCCCGCUCGCCGGAAGACCAAGGGUUCCUGUCCAACGUUAAUCGGGGCAGGGUGAGUCGACCCCUAAGGCGAGGCCGAAAGGCGUAGUCGAUGGGAAACAGGUUAAUAUUCCUGUACUUGGUGUUACUGCGAAGGGGGGACGGAGAAGGCUAUGUCGGCCGGGCGACGGUUGUCCCGGUUUAAGCGUGUAGGUGUGUGCUCCAGGCAAAUCCGGUGCACUUUAACACUGAGGCGUGAUGACGAGGCACUACGGUGCUGAAGUGACAAAUGCCCUGCUUCCAGGAAAAGCCUCUAAGCAUCAGGUAACAUCAAAUCGUACCCCAAACCGACACAGGUGGUCAGGUAGAGAAUACCAAGGCGCUUGAGAGAACUCGGGUGAAGGAACUAGGCAAAAUGGUGCCGUAACUUCGGGAGAAGGCACGCUGAUAUGUAGGUGAAGUGAUUUACUCAUGGAGCUGAAAUCAGUCGAAGAUACCAGCUGGCUGCAACUGUUUAUUAAAAACACAGCACUGUGCAAACACGAAAGUGGACGUAUACGGUGUGACGCCUGCCCGGUGCCGGAAGGUUAAUUGAUGGGGUUAUCCCUCGGGAGAAGCUCUUGAUCGAAGCCCCGGUAAACGGCGGCCGUAACUAUAACGGUCCUAAGGUAGCGAAAUUCCUUGUCGGGUAAGUUCCGACC
Molecule: ribosomal RNA, 1962 nt
Filed under: human gut metagenome
Description: bacterial LSU rRNA
Rfam family: Bacterial large subunit ribosomal RNA
Source: RNAcentral